This 503-nucleotide ribosomal RNA is filed under the name uncultured Sphingobacteriales bacterium. RNAcentral describes it as "bacterial SSU rRNA". It matches the Rfam family "Bacterial small subunit ribosomal RNA", at positions 903 to 1382 of the family's 1533-position model. The record is from RNAcentral. Lineage: Bacteria; Pseudomonadati; Bacteroidota; Sphingobacteriia; Sphingobacteriales.
CGCCUUGCCAGCCCGCUCAGAACUUAAAGGAAUUGACGGGGCCCGCACAAGCGGAGGAGCAUGUGGUUUAAUUCGAUGAUACGCGAGGAACCUUACCUGGGCUCGAACGUAAGAUGACUGUAGGUGAAAGCUUACAUCUCUUCGGAGCAUUUUACGAGGUGCUGCAUGGUUGUCGUCAGCUCGUGCCGUGAGGUGUCGGGUUAAGUCCCAUAACGAGCGCAACCCCUACCUUUAGUUGCCAUCAGGUUAAGCUGGGGACUCUAAAGGAACUGCCUACGCAAGUAGUGAGGAAGGCGGGGAUGACGUCAAAUCAGCACGGCCCUUACGUCCAGGGCUACACACGUGCUACAAUGGCCGAUACAGAGGGCAGCUACCUGGUGACAGGAUGCAAAUCUCCAAAGUCGGUCUCAGUUCGGAUCGGAGUCUGCAACCCGACUCCGUGAAGUUGGAUUCGCUAGUAAUCGCGCAUCAGCCAUGGCGCGGUGAAUACGUUCCCGGGCCUU